UUGCUCCUCUGACGUUAGCGGCGGACGGGUGAGUAACACGUGGAUAACCUACCUAUAAGACUGGGAUAACUUCGGGAAACCGGAGCUAAUACCGGAUAAUAUAUUGAACCGCAUGGUUCAAUAGUGAAAGACGGUUUUGCUGUCACUUAUAGAUGGAUCCGCGCCGCAUUAGCUAGUUGGUAAGGUAACGGCUUACCAAGGCGACGAUGCGUAGCCGACCUGAGAGGGUGAUCGGCCACACUGGAACUGAGACACGGUCCAGACUCCUACGGGAGGCAGCAGUAGGGAAUCUUCCGCAAUGGGCGAAAGCCUGACGGAGCAACGCCGCGUGAGUGAUGAAGGUCUUCGGAUCGUAAAACUCUGUUAUUAGGGAAGAACAAAUGUGUAAGUAACUAUGCACGUCUUGACGGUACCUAAUCAGAAAGCCACGGCUAACUACGUGCCAGCAGCCGCGGUAAUACGUAGGUGGCAAGCGUUAUCCGGAAUUAUUGGGCGUAAAGCGCGCGUAGGCGGUUUUUUAAGUCUGAUGUGAAAGCCCACGGCUCAACCGUGGAGGGUCAUUGGAAACUGGAAAACUUGAGUGCAGAAGAGGAAAGUGGAAUUCCAUGUGUAGCGGUGAAAUGCGCAGAGAUAUGGAGGAACACCAGUGGCGAAGGCGACUUUCUGGUCUGUAACUGACGCUGAUGUGCGAAAGCGUGGGGAUCAAACAGGAUUAG
This 716-nucleotide ribosomal RNA is filed under the name uncultured Staphylococcus sp. RNAcentral's name for it is "bacterial SSU rRNA". It matches the Rfam family "Bacterial small subunit ribosomal RNA", at positions 80 to 781 of the family's 1533-position model. Lineage: Bacteria; Bacillati; Bacillota; Bacilli; Caryophanales; Staphylococcaceae. The record is from RNAcentral.